Molecule: ribosomal RNA, 250 nt
Filed under: uncultured bacterium
Lineage: Bacteria
Description: partial 16S ribosomal RNA
Rfam family: Bacterial small subunit ribosomal RNA
Source: RNAcentral
UACGUAGGGUCCGAGCGUUGUCCGGAUUUAUUGGGCGUAAAGAGCUCGUAGGCGGUUCAGUAAGUCGGAUGUGAAAACUCAGGGCUCAACCCUGAGACGCCAUCCGAUACUGCUGUGACUUGAGUCUGGUAGGGGAGAACGGAAUUCCAGGUGUAGCGGUGAAAUGCGCAGAUAUCUGGAGGAACACCGAUGGCGAAGGCAGUUCUCUGGGCCAGUACUGACGCUGAGGAGCGAAAGCGUGGGGAGCAAA